RNAcentral lists this ribosomal RNA (274 nucleotides) under uncultured bacterium. RNAcentral's name for it is "partial 16S ribosomal RNA". It matches the Rfam family "Bacterial small subunit ribosomal RNA", at positions 523 to 796 of the family's 1533-position model. The record is from RNAcentral.
AUACGGAGGGUCCAAGCGUUAUCCGGAUUCAUGGGGUUUAAAGGGUCCGCAGGCGGGAAAAUAAGUCAGUGGUGAAAGCCUACAGCUCAACUGUAGAACUGCCAUUGAUACUGUUUUUCUUGAGUAUAGAUGAAGUGGGCGGAAUAUAUCAUGUAGCGGUGAAAUGCAUAGAUAUGAUAUAGAACACCGAUUGCGAAGGCAGCUCACUAAACUAUUACUGACGCUCAGGGACGAAAGCGUGGGGAGCGAACAGGAUUAGAAACCCCAGUAGUCC